ACGACUCGAAUACACGUUAUAUGCUUUUUGACACCUACGGCCUUGUUCUACGUUACCGCUGGUUUGGAUGUGGGGAGAAUUUGUUAUGCACCUGAUCAAUGCAUCGGUUUCCCUGUGCGUGCUGCGCGGGGUGUGUCGGAUUUAGAUCAACGUACAGAUAAUGUGUGUGUUUCGUUAGUAACAGUAAAAAUGCCCCUCGUCGUAAUAACUGGCUUCCCUGCAUCGGGCAAAUCACAAAGAUGUUCAGACUUGUCGAGUUAUAUGAAAGAGUCUUUUAAGGGAAAAGUUGUGAUCAUAUGUGAGCAUGAUUACAUUUCUACCAAGGACUCCACAUACUCAUCACCACAAGUCGAGAAGGAUGUGCGUGCAGCAAUGAAAGGUGAUGUUGUUAGGCAAAUAUCAAAGGAUGACAUAGUGAUCCUGGACAGGCCUCAACUACAUCAAGGGGUACAGAUACGAGCUGUUCUGCAUCAGCAAGAACUGCCGGACGCCGCAGGUGACCCUGCACUGCACCAUCAGCGCCGAGGAGGCGUGGCAGCGGGACCUGGCGCGCCCCGUGUCGGAGA
Long non-coding RNA from Pollicipes pollicipes, 566 nucleotides. RefSeq lists it as uncharacterized. The transcript has 3 exons. The record is from RefSeq and is a predicted model, not a curated record. NCBI's taxonomy places the organism in Eukaryota, Metazoa, Arthropoda, Thecostraca, Pollicipedomorpha, Pollicipedidae.